RNAcentral lists this ribosomal RNA (272 nucleotides) under uncultured bacterium. RNAcentral describes it as "partial 16S ribosomal RNA". It matches the Rfam family "Bacterial small subunit ribosomal RNA", at positions 524 to 796 of the family's 1533-position model. The record is from RNAcentral.
UACGUAGGUGACAAGCGUUGUCCGGAUUUACUGGGCGUAAAGAGCGCGCAGGCGGUCGUUCAAGUCGAGUGUGAAAGCCCCGGCUCAACUGGGGAGGGUCAUUCGAUACUGAUCGACUCGAAGGCAGGAGAGGGAAGUGGAAUUCCCGGUGUAGUGGUGAAAUGCGUAGAUAUCGGGAGGAACACCAGUGGCGAAGGCGACUUCCUGGCCUGUUCUUGACGCUGAGGCGCGAAAGCUAGGGGAGCAAACGGGAUUAGAAACCCCGGUAGUCC